AAAUUGAAGAGUUUGAUCAUGGCUCAGAUUGAACGCUGGCGGCAGGCCUAACACAUGCAAGUCGAACGGUAGCACAGAGAGCUUGCUCUCGGGUGACGAGUGGCGGACGGGUGAGUAAUGUCUGGGAAACUGCCUGAUGGAGGGGGAUAACUACUGGAAACGGUAGCUAAUACCGCAUAACGUCGCAAGACCAAAGAGGGGGACCUUCGGGCCUCUUGCCAUCAGAUGUGCCCAGAUGGGAUUAGCUAGUAGGUGGGGUAACGGCUCACCUAGGCGACGAUCCCUAGCUGGUCUGAGAGGAUGACCAGCCACACUGGAACUGAGACACGGUCCAGACUCCUACGGGAGGCAGCAGUGGGGAAUAUUGCACAAUGGGCGCAAGCCUGAUGCAGCCAUGCCGCGUGUAUGAAGAAGGCCUUCGGGUUGUAAAGUACUUUCAGCGGGGAGGAAGGUGUUGUGGUUAAUAACCGCAGCAAUUGACGUUACCCGCAGAAGAAGCACCGGCUAACUCCGUGCCAGCAGCCGCGGUAAUACGGAGGGUGCAAGCGUUAAUCGGAAUUACUGGGCGUAAAGCGCACGCAGGCGGUCUGUCAAGUCGGAUGUGAAAUCCCCGGGCUCAACCUGGGAACUGCAUUCGAAACUGGCAGGCUAGAGUCUUGUAGAGGGGGGUAGAAUUCCAGGUGUAGCGGUGAAAUGCGUAGAGAUCUGGAGGAAUACCGGUGGCGAAGGCGGCCCCCUGGACAAAGACUGACGCUCAGGUGCGAAAGCGUGGGGAGCAAACAGGAUUAGAUACCCUGGUAGUCCACGCCGUAAACGAUGUCGACUUGGAGGUUGUUCCCUUGAGGAGUGGCUUCCGGAGCUAACGCGUUAAGUCGACCGCCUGGGGAGUACGGCCGCAAGGUUAAAACUCAAAUGAAUUGACGGGGGCCCGCACAAGCGGUGGAGCAUGUGGUUUAAUUCGAUGCAACGCGAAGAACCUUACCUACUCUUGACAUCCAGAGAACUUUCCAGAGAUGGAUUGGUGCCUUCGGGAACUCUGAGACAGGUGCUGCAUGGCUGUCGUCAGCUCGUGUUGUGAAAUGUUGGGUUAAGUCCCGCAACGAGCGCAACCCUUAUCCUUUGUUGCCAGCGGCUAGGCCGGGAACUCAAAGGAGACUGCCAGUGAUAAACUGGAGGAAGGUGGGGAUGACGUCAAGUCAUCAUGGCCCUUACGAGUAGGGCUACACACGUGCUACAAUGGCGCAUACAAAGAGAAGCGACCUCGCGAGAGCAAGCGGACCUCAUAAAGUGCGUCGUAGUCCGGAUUGGAGUCUGCAACUCGACUCCAUGAAGUCGGAAUCGCUAGUAAUCGUAGAUCAGAAUGCUACGGUGAAUACGUUCCCGGGCCUUGUACACACCGCCCGUCACACCAUGGGAGUGGGUUGCAAAAGAAGUAGGUAGCUUAACCUUCGGGAGGGCGCUUACCACUUUGUGAUUCAUGACUGGGGUGAAGUCGUAACAAGGUAACCGUAGGGGAACCUGCGGUUGGAUCACCUCCUUACCUUAAAGAA
Molecule: ribosomal RNA, 1550 nt
Filed under: Leclercia adecarboxylata
Lineage: Bacteria; Pseudomonadati; Pseudomonadota; Gammaproteobacteria; Enterobacterales; Enterobacteriaceae
Description: bacterial SSU rRNA
Rfam family: Bacterial small subunit ribosomal RNA
Source: RNAcentral